GACGAACGCUGGCGGCGUGCUUAACACAUGCAAGUCGAGCGGUAAGGCCCUUUCGGGGGUACGACGAGCGGCGAACGGGUAGAGUAACACGUGGGUGGACCUCGCCCUCCAGCUCUGGGAGUAAGCCUGGGAAACCGGGUACUAAUACUGGAUAUGACUCCAUGACGCAUGUUGUGGGGUGGAAAGCCUUGUGCGGCUGAGGAUGGGCCCGCGGCCUAUCAGCUUGUUGGUGGGGU
This 236-nucleotide ribosomal RNA is filed under the name uncultured bacterium. Its description in RNAcentral is "partial 16S ribosomal RNA". It matches the Rfam family "Bacterial small subunit ribosomal RNA", at positions 28 to 258 of the family's 1533-position model. The record is from RNAcentral.